This 511-nucleotide long non-coding RNA is filed under the name Chinchilla lanigera (long-tailed chinchilla). Its description in RNAcentral is "lncRNA (ENSCLAG00000026244.1)". Lineage: Eukaryota; Metazoa; Chordata; Mammalia; Rodentia; Chinchillidae. The record is from RNAcentral.
UGUAAACAGAAAGUGAUGAACAGAAAUGGCAAUCAGUGUGGAAUGAGUCUCUGAGGUGGUCGGAUUUAGCAGUACUUUGGAAGCUCACCUUACCCAACCGGCUGAACUGACAAGCAGGCAAUGACCAUCGAUUCUCAGUGGGCGAUGCUGAGGUUGGUCUCUGUGUCCCAGCUGGGUUUCCGAGUCCUAAGCAACCACAAAGCCUAGACUACUUUGGUAUGCCAGCAGGCAGCAAAAGGUAGAGCAACUGUCAGCCUCCUGCCUGACCAGCAGUCUCCAGAGCCUGACCCCCCAAGGGGCUUGCACAUUGCCCUCAUCCUGAGACGCUGACUCUACUGGCUCCUUGACUGAAUGGCCACUUCCUCUUCAUUCAGGACUCACUCUAAAUGCCAGGUGGCUUUGCCCAGAAAUUCCCGUGCUUGGGUUUGAUCCUACAUAUGAUCUUACAUGUGUACAUACAUAGGCAAACAUAUGUACAUCCCAUGGUGCUCACCAAAACGGCUUGGCAGAG